Molecule: long non-coding RNA, 774 nt
Filed under: Homo sapiens (human)
Lineage: Eukaryota; Metazoa; Chordata; Mammalia; Primates; Hominidae
Description: HSALNT0310113
Source: RNAcentral
UCUGCUGUUACAAAUAAAGUUCAGGAACAUUGGUGACUAAUUUUAGUGUUGCAUCAACCUAACUGACUGUAAGUCUUCUGUCUUAAACACAGACCAAAUCAGGCCAGGGUGAGUAAAGUUGGAGAUCCCUUAAGCACAUGCUACAGAGUCCCAUGUGCCCGGAACAUCAAAGACUCUCUCAUUGUCUCCUACAGCUUGCCCCAGUAAGCAACCAACUACACGUCCCAUUUCUUUAGGGUGUGAUAACAUCAAGAAUAUAAACAGUAAAAUUGAUGUUCCACAUGAAAGGCAGCCAUUUCAGCCAGGUAGAAGAGCUUUCUCUCAAGAUAACCAUCACAUUUCAUUAUGCAGAAGUAUAUGAAAGGAUAUUACUUCCAGUUUCUCUAGGUUCAAAAGAAAGAGGAGUGAAGAGGAGUAAAACACACAUCUAUUAAAAAGCAAGAAGAUUAAAUAAAUUGAAGCUUUUUAUUUCUCUUUCUCUGCCUAAGACUGCCCCAAGAUGUGAUUCUUCUUUGCAGUCUUUCUGGAGAAGUUGUAUGUGACAAGCAAACAUAUCUCCUGAGUGUCCUGUUGGUCUCGUGGCAGCUUGUUGUAAAGUGGAGAAACAUCAUUUCACAUCACUUUUUCUUUGCCUCACUUCUCUCUCUCUUUUUUUUUUUUUUUUUUUUUUUUUUUUUAUCUCACCCUCACUCUUUUGGGCUUACACCUUCCAAAUAAAAGGUAUGCUACCAUAAUGGGGUGCUCGAUGGGGUGCCUCAUGUAAUACUUCUUAAA